GAGUAGCUGGGACUACAGGCGCCCGCCAUGAUGCCCGGCUAAUUUUUUGUAUUUUUAGCAGAGACGGGGUUUCACCCUGUUAGCCAGGAUGGUCUCAUCUCCUGACCUCGUGAUCCGCCCGCCUAGGCCUCCCAAAGUGCUGGGAUUACAGGCGUGAGCCACCGCGCCCGGCCUAAUAAAGGACAAUUUUUAAUAGCCACUGGACUAUUUAAGUGAUCUCUUCUGUCAGUUUCUUUUACCAUCAGAGGACACAGCAGCAAGGUGCCAUCCUAGAAGCAGAGAGCAGACCCUUACCAGACAACCAACCAGCUGGUGCCAUGAUCUUGGACUUCUCGGCCUCCAGAACUGCACUUAAACACGCAGCAUGAGGAAAAUGGAACAACAAUCUUGAGGUGCCUUCUGAAUCAUCAGAUUAAAUUAUGCUUCGGUCUUGCACUGCUGCCUAGGCUAGAGUGCAGUGGUGCAAUCAGGGCUCACUGCAGCCUCACUCAACUUCCCAGUCUCAAGCCAUCCUCCUACCUCAGCCUCUGUUCCACUAAUCUACUUGUCAAUUUUUCCAGCAACACCACACCCUCCUGAUCACCAUAGCUUUAUGCAACAACAAGAAACAAAUUUAUUAGCUAACCUAACCACUAAUGACGCAAGAGACAAUUCUAAGGACUUUCAAAACAGCAAAGUAGGAGCAGCUGCUACCUCUAGGGAUGAGGGAGAAACUCAAAAAUGCAUACAAAAACCAUUGCAUGAAAAGUGACUGGAUUUGUACAUAGCGUCAGGAGAUGUGCGUAGUGUCAAAGUAUCUCAUCACACAUUACUUGAUAAUUACAAAUGAGAAAAAUGAACCUUCACAGUGGCAAGACUUGACUUCUACCUCUUUCAAAAAGAUGCAAUUGUCCAAUUAUUGGUGAAAUUGUCAUUUCAUGCUAUUGGCUAUUUGAAAUUCCUCCUCUAAUUUCAGAAUAAAUCACUGAAAUUGACAUCGGCCAGUCUGAAUUUCAAGAAAUUACCUGCUGAAGACAAGAGGGAUCUCUUCUUCAGAUUUGCAGUCUGGGGAAGACACAGCCUCUACUGUACUUUAGAACCUGAGAUAUGGUGGUGGAGGGAGCCCUGGGUCGAGUGGUAAGAUUCACCCUUAGGUCAGAGCUCCGGACUCCAGCCCCAUGCAACUUCAAAAUAUGACAAAUGUCUUGAAGGGGAGAUUGGCAUGCAGAUGAGGAAGGCCCUCUCGCCAACACAUUUGUAUUUCCUCUGUACUGUGAGACUGUGGGAGAUUUACUGCGACAUUUAGAAGCUUUCUUCCAAACUCCUGGGCCUCCGACACUGGUUCUAAACUCAGCAAAUGUUCUUUGGGAAAAACAGACAGUGCAUGUGAGGCCCCUCGAGUUUGGAAUUUAUGUCUCCAGCUUCACAUGGUCUCUCAAGUGCUUAUGCUUUUCUUCUCUCUGCCACCCACAUUCCCACAUCCCGCCCACCCCCCAACUUUCCUCCCUUCACCUUCCCAUGGAGACUUUUUGCCUGGGCUAAAUCUGAUCCUCAGCCCACUCUCAGAAUCGAUAAAUGCCCCUAGGUGAUUGUAAGCUCACCUAAGAUAUACUUUUUCUCCUCUAGAAUUUUAGUUUAUUAGAUUUUUCUAGUUGUCUUUGCAAAAGCGUUAACAGGCUCUGACUUCUGACAUUCAACUAGAUGUGGAAUAUCCAACCCCUAGCAUUUCAUGGAAUGUACUGACCAAGAUAAAAUGUGUUCUUAUUAAACAAUGCCAUUUCUUGACC
This 1766-nucleotide long non-coding RNA is filed under the name Homo sapiens (human). RNAcentral describes it as "long intergenic non-protein coding RNA 470". Lineage: Eukaryota; Metazoa; Chordata; Mammalia; Primates; Hominidae. The record is from RNAcentral.